AUGAGUUGGGUGAUGCUCCCAGAAGGAAGAGUGAAAGCGCGCAUGAGGAGAAGGAAAGAUGGACAUAUCUUAACUCAGAAAGAGCGGUGUUUGUAUUGUUUUGAGAACCCAUCCUGGCCAAAGCAUCUGGUUGUGGCACUAGGGAACUUGACUUACCUGAUGCUUCCACAGUUUGAGCCUAUUGUUCCUGGUCACUGCGUUAUUCUUCCGUUGCAGCAUGAGUCUGUAACAAGAGCAGUUGAUAUCAGUGUUUGGGAGGAGAUUCACAACUUGAAAAGGUGUAGCCUGAAGAUGUUUGCGCUGCAGGGCCAGAAUGUGAUUUUCAUGGAGACUGCAUGUGCUUGGCCAAGCAAAGCUUGCACCAGCACUUGUGUAGAAACUAAAAGUAGAUGGCAUUUUUGUGAAAGAACCCUAGGAUAUUGUAGGAUUUUCAAAAUGGCCCAGUUGUACUUGACUAUAAAAUGGUUAUCGUUCAGAAUACCCACACCGUGUUGCUGCUACUCCACUUGGUAA
This 513-nucleotide ribosomal RNA is filed under the name Triticum aestivum (bread wheat). RNAcentral's name for it is "partial small subunit ribosomal RNA". The record is from RNAcentral. Lineage: Eukaryota; Viridiplantae; Streptophyta; Magnoliopsida; Poales; Poaceae.